UGUAUGCUCGCCAGAGAAUACCAAAACUCUUUUUAUUAAUGUCGUCUGAGUACUAUAUAAUAGUUAAAACUUUCAACAACGGAUCUCUUGGUUCUGGCAUCGAUGAAGAACGCAGCGAAAUGCGAUAAGUAAUGUGAAUUGCAGAAUUCAGUGAAUCAUCGAAUCUUUGAACGCACAUUGCGCCCCUUGGUAUUCCGGGGGGCAUGCCUGUUCGAGCGUCAUUUCAACCCUCAAGCUUAGCUUGGUAUUGAGUCUAUGUCAGUAAUGGCAGGCUCUAAAAUCAGUGGCGGCGCCGCUGGGUCCUGAACGUAGUAAUAUCUCUCGUUACAGGUUCUCGGUGUGCUUCUGCCAAAACCCAAAUUUUUCUAUGGUUGACCUCGGAUCA
RNAcentral lists this ribosomal RNA (385 nucleotides) under Botrytis cinerea. RNAcentral describes it as "eukaryotic LSU rRNA". The stretch from base 68 to 221 matches the Rfam family "5.8S ribosomal RNA". Lineage: Eukaryota; Fungi; Ascomycota; Leotiomycetes; Helotiales; Sclerotiniaceae. The record is from RNAcentral.